CAAAAAGUAGUAUAAUAACGAUUACAUUUCGCUUACACCGAGAUAAAGGUACACACCCUUUUUGA
Molecule: transfer RNA, 65 nt
Filed under: Echyridella menziesii
Lineage: Eukaryota; Metazoa; Mollusca; Bivalvia; Unionida; Hyriidae
Description: tRNA-Val
Source: RNAcentral